Molecule: ribosomal RNA, 380 nt
Filed under: uncultured eukaryote
Lineage: Eukaryota
Description: partial 18S ribosomal RNA
Rfam family: Eukaryotic small subunit ribosomal RNA
Source: RNAcentral
CAAUAGCGUAUAUUAAAGCUGUUGCGGUUAAAAAGCUCGUAGUUGGAUUUCUGUCAAGUACAACUGGUCCGCCCUCCGGGUGAGCACAUAGUUUGGUCUUGGCAUCUUGCUGGAAAUUGUUGCUGCACUUGGCUGUGUGGCACAGUGUCCAGCACUUUCACUUUGAGGAAAUUGGAGUGUUUCAAGCAGGCAAUGCCUUUGAACACAGUAGCAUGGAAUAAUUAGAUUGGGCUUUUGCUCCAAUUUGUCGGUUUCUGGAGCUGAGGUGAGAAUUAAUGGGGAUUGUUGGGGGCAUCCGAAUUUAGCCGUCAGAGGUGAAAUUCUUGGAUCGGCUAAAGACGGACAACUGCGAAAGCGUUCGCCCAGGAUGUUUUCAUUGA